AGUGAACGCUGGCGGUAGGCCUAACACAUGCAAGUCGAACGGCAGCACAGUAAGAGCUUGCUCUUACGGGUGGCGAGUGGCGGACGGGUGAGGAAUACAUCGGAAUCUACUUUUUCGUGGGGGAUAACGUAGGGAAACUUACGCUAAUACCGCAUACGACCUACGGGUGAAAGCAGGGGAUCUUCGGACCUUGCGCGAUUGAAUGAGCCGAUGUCGGAUUAGCUAGUUGGCGGGGUAAAGGCUCACCAAGGCGACGAUCCGUAGCUGGUCCGCGGGGAUGAUCAGCCACACUGGAACUGAGACACGUUCCAGACUCCUACGGGAGGCAGCAGUGGGGAAUAUUGGACAAUGGGCGGAAGCCUGAUCCAGCCAUACCGCGUGGGUGAAGAAGGCCUUCGGGUUGUAAAGCCCUUUUGUUGGGAAAGAAAAGCAGCAGAUUAAUACCCCGCUGUUCUGACGGUACCCAAAGAAUAAGCACCGGCUAACUUCGUG
Molecule: ribosomal RNA, 492 nt
Filed under: uncultured bacterium
Lineage: Bacteria
Description: partial 16S ribosomal RNA
Rfam family: Bacterial small subunit ribosomal RNA
Source: RNAcentral